Molecule: transfer RNA, 58 nt
Filed under: Dipodomys ordii (Ord's kangaroo rat)
Lineage: Eukaryota; Metazoa; Chordata; Mammalia; Rodentia; Heteromyidae
Rfam family: tRNA
About the family: Transfer RNA (tRNA) molecules are approximately 80 nucleotides in length. Their secondary structure includes four short double-helical elements and three loops (D, anti-codon, and T loops).
Source: Rfam by way of RNAcentral
UGGCUCAGUGGUAGAGUGCUUGCUUGGCAUGCAUGAGGCCCUGAGUUUGAUUCCUCAG